GAUCCCUACAGGGCUUAUUGCCCCAUUCACAGGGUCCCUUAAAAUGCUUUAUGCUUGGCGCUGAUGAGAACAGUUAGUUUUGAACACAAAAUGGCAUGGGACUUCAUCUAGGUGGCAAUACAUUGCCUUCUCACCAGCACAUUGAUCAAGUGAUACACAUUCAUUACUGCCAAUCUCAUUAUUUAUGUCUCAUUACAAUUGGUAUGUACAAUAUAUUUUCAUUAUCAGCAGUAUCAUUACAACUUGUGCAUCACCAGUAUCA
Non-coding RNA from Paramuricea clavata, 262 nucleotides. The record is from the annotation of a GenBank genome assembly. NCBI's taxonomy places the organism in Eukaryota, Metazoa, Cnidaria, Anthozoa, Malacalcyonacea, Plexauridae.